This is a long non-coding RNA of Cervus elaphus (red deer), 174 nucleotides long. RefSeq lists it as uncharacterized. The record is from RefSeq and is a predicted model, not a curated record. The transcript is spliced from 3 exons. Lineage: Eukaryota; Metazoa; Chordata; Mammalia; Artiodactyla; Cervidae.
GCCAAAGUCUUUGACUAUGUGGAUCACAACAAACUGUGGAAAAUUCUUCAAGAAAUUGGAAUACCAGACCACCUUACCUACCUCCUGAGAUAUCUGUGUGCCGGUCAAGAAGCAACAGUUGGGAGUGGACAUGGAAUAAUGAACUGGCUCCAAAUCAGAGUACAUCAAGUCUGU